Long non-coding RNA from Sander lucioperca (pikeperch), 470 nucleotides. RefSeq lists it as uncharacterized. Lineage: Eukaryota; Metazoa; Chordata; Actinopteri; Perciformes; Percidae. The record is from RefSeq and is a predicted model, not a curated record. The transcript has 2 exons.
CCUUAUUUGGCUCUAGUCUGUACCUUUGUCACGCCCCAAAAUUGACAUACAGACCACUAGUCUGAGACCAGCUGGUGUUCUGAAUGUAGGUUGCGUAGAUCUCAGACACUAGUUGCGCGCUGCUCUGUGUACUUCCACGGGAAUUACAAAGAAGAAAGUUUGGAAGUUUUUCAAGGAUAUUGAAAACGAACCACGGUCGUAAAUGCAGUGUUCCAGACUGUACAGGGAAUGCGGACACUUUUGAUGACAUUUCAUCGUGAGCUGCCGGUCAUGGUGCUCCAGGUAAGCGGAAGUUGGUGGUUCAAUUACCCCAGAAAAGGUCACUGUGCGCUGGGUACAGAGCAGCGCGAGCUGCCGGUCCCAGUGAGUGCGGUUGGCCAUUGCGUCUUUGCUCCUCAGCUUCGCUCGUUGUAAACCAACCAAUCAGCGCGUGGCUCAUCUAAAUAUUCAUGAGCAUACCAUAAAAGGGA